Long non-coding RNA from Gasterosteus aculeatus aculeatus (three-spined stickleback), 3911 nucleotides. The record is from Ensembl. Lineage: Eukaryota; Metazoa; Chordata; Actinopteri; Perciformes; Gasterosteidae.
CAAACAGACAAACGGUUGUUCGGCUCUGGUGACAUGUAGAGGCUUCAAGCAGUUAACUGGUCCAAGUGUUGUUUCCUUCCCUCCUCCCUACCUCCUUGCUCCAGGUGGGGGUGGAUGUGAGAAAGGGCGCUCAGUCAGCGCAGCGCACCAGUCUGCGGAGAGUUAAACACUGAAAUACACAUACUGCCCCGUCCUCCAGGACCGGAAAGCCACUGCCAAAUCAUCCUACACAAAAACACAAGCAGGCCGCAGGGGGAAAUGAGCAAAGAAGGAGAGGAAGAGAAAGAAAAAGACUAAAGGAGGGGGAACUACAAAAUGACAAACACCGAGCCAUCCUCAGCGUGUGACCAUGGGACAUCACAAAAGAAAAAGAGACAGAGGAAAAAAAGAGUUUGACUUGUAGUUUUAUAACAUUUGUAAAGAAAACAUCAACUAGAAUAAGGCAUGAUUCUUCUUCCUUUUUGUUUGUUUUUUACAAAAAAAAAAAAACAUAAAUGUCAGUAAAACAAUUAAGAAGAAAAAAAAGCAACAAAAAGUGCUUCCUGUGAACUGUAAUCGCAUGAUGACUGCUGGUGCAUGACCUUUGACCUUUUGAACUGUCAUUAUCCUCAAAACUGAAGGGGUGCAAGGUACGGGGCUGGCCCAUGAUUUCACGGACCUGUGAUUUCAAGGACCUAUUCCUCCCCCCACACACCCCCUCCCCCACCACCCCCCCAACCGGAGGUGUUUGUAUCAAGUUGAGUCCAAUGACACUACAGCCAAAAAAAAGAAGUCCCUCCAUGGACGGUUCCGUACACAGCUGAGCUUCUGCUGAGCCCACCGCUGCUUCUCUCACUGGACCCCUUCCCCCCUUAUUAUUCUCAAUGUGAUAUAUGCACUCUUAUGCUACGUGGACAUGUGUCGGUGUGUGUGUAUGUGUGCGUAUGUGUGCGCGUAUUCUUCUCUGCAAGCAUGUUUUUGUUUUUUUCUUGGCCCCGGCUGGGCGCCGAGCCCCUGCCUAGCGAUUGGCUCUUUGGACCUGUGAUGUCACGGCCCGCACAGCGCCGGGAUGAGCGCCGCCCCGCUUGUUAGUGUUCCUGUCUGCGUGUGCCGUCGUCUCUUCCUUCGUGGAUGAAGGUGUUUUUUUUUUUUUUUCCCGCCUCGGUUUUCAUUCGGUGUCGUCACAGAAGGGAACUGAAUUCCUUUCACCCCUCGUGUCUUUUGGAAGAGGGGGUCGGUUGCUUGAUUGUAUUGUGCAGCAGCCCUACAACACAAAGAUUGACGCUUCUCCCCCCCGUGACCUUUUUGUACCUUCGUCCGUCCUUUUGUCCCAGUAGCGCGCGCCGUCUCGAUUUCACAGUCUUUAUCAGUAGCCUCGGUCAAUAUGCAGUAAAAUGAACAGGCCUCUUCAUCAGCAUCAAUAGCUCCUCCAUCUAAUGCUACCAGCUUUUUUUGGGCGCUCCCUCUUUAUCGGUUGGCAACGUUCUCCUCACCGUCACCCAACGUAGGUCCAUCCAUUUUAAGCCGGGUGAAGGAAGCGCAAACAACGCGAGUGAUCCAAUCAGUUUCGAGGAUUUCGGAGUUUCAAUGGUAGCAAGGGUGAAAUAAUAUUAUGCUACUACAGUACGGUAGCGUGGUACCGCGAUGAGAACGGUGCAGCUUGGACAGACAGGUAGCACUGUGAUUGUCUUAUCAACACUGACCCCUGACUUGUGAACUGUGAAGACACACAAACAAAAGCACACUGCACGCUCUCAUGUGCACAUACAAACACUAAAUCAGAAACGUAUCGCAUUGCGACGGUAUAGUUACAGCCUGGUCCGAGGGGUUGAUUUUCAAGUCAGCCACAGCAAUAAUACCUAACGAGGACACCGGCGAUGGAGGCCAGAGGGUUCUGUAGGUUCUUCGUGAAGGAUUUGGAAAAUGAAGAUCGGAGUGUGGCAGCUGCUCUGCGUGUGGAUCCGGGAUCGUUUGGAUCGUUUGUUUUUCAGCACCUAACGUAGCAAAACAUAAACCGGGAGUCUUGCUCCUGCCGUGAGGGUGAAACCACCAAGCUUACUGUAGCCUGAAUGAAUGAGACACCGAAUGAGUGGACGCAUCACACACAAACGCACAUCGUUUUCCGUUACCCGCUCCGCGCACACCAGAGCCUCAUCCGAUAUAUAGCACAUGUUUAUGACAUGUCACGUGUUUUCCACUGUUACUCCACUCAGGUUUUCAGUUCUGCUCCGUCAGAAUCAAAGUGUUUUUCCUUUUUAGAGUUCAGAGUCCUCCUCGGUAGGACCAGCGUGGGACACGCAGCGAGUGCUUCUGGAUUAGACUUUGGUUGUUGGGGCUAAAGGGAAAAGUUGGGAAGUGUAUGAUGCCGGAAAGGAUUGUGUGUGGGCGUUUGGGGGUGUGGGUGUGUGUGGUAUGUGUGGGUGUGUGUGUUUGUGGCGGUUGAUUCAAAUAAGACCAAAGAGGAGACAAAGUAUCUAGCAUGUUCUCCAGCGAGCCCUCAGCUCUUGGCCCUGUACGUACAAGCUGGCUUGGAGGGAUCCUCCUCGCUGCUAAGCGAGAAAUGCAAAGUGACGAUGAAGAAGAAUGUACCAAAAAGUAUUUGGUGAAGCAUUAUCCCCUGGAUAGGAAAAACAAGUUGAGGGACUAGUUAGCCUCUGUAUCUUGUACUGUAUCAGCACAAGAAAGAGGUUGGAUCGAGGUAUUCGCGUGGAGAAUGACUUCUCGGAGUUAUAUACAGUUGUUUGUCUGCCAGUGGCAGAGGGUCGUCUUUCCCCCACGUGGGAUCUUAACUGCACACGCAGGUGAGAUGGAGACACGAGUCAGAAGACAAAAUGUUUGGUGCCUGCGCAUGUUGCAGUGCAAGGCCACAUUGGAUCCAAGUCCGAUGACACUGUUGACUGCUUCCUUAGUCUUUAGGGUGAAUCCCUUCACCAUACAGCUUGUUGGCCUUGCGCAUUAAGGUUACUAUUGGACAUUAAAGUAAUAAUUCAGCUUGUUUGCUGCCCCCCGGUGGUUGAUAGAACUCAUGGCGGCAAAACAACAAAGACUAAAUCUUAAGGAUUAUAACUCUGAGCGUUUGACCAUUUAUUUGAUUUCCACUCAAUUUAAACUCAUCAAUUGGAACGUGCUCUAUAAUCCAUUCAACUCCACAGUGUGUGUGUGUGUGUGUGUGUGUGUGUGUGUGUGUGUGUGUGUGUGUGUGUGUGUGUUUGAGUGUGUGUGUGUGUGUGUGUGUGUGUGUUUGAGUGUGUGUGUACGUGCGUGCAAUGGUGCUGUGUUCCAAACCCAGUUGGAUCAGAGGGGAAGAAGAGAGAACGUGUGACCUGAGAGGACGUGUAACCUUCGACGACGUAUUUAAAAAAAACAAAAGAGUAUUGUAAAAUUUUAACUGUCGCGAAAGAAUAGAGAUCACCUAUACUCCUUUAGAAUGGAUACAUGACAAUGUAAACGCAAUAUCAUACUACUAUAUCCUACGGAAUGCAACUGCGCACAUGCACAAAAAAAAUGUUUUUAUGAAAAUAUAUGUAUAAAUAUAUGACAAAAUAUAUUUAAUUAGAAUGCUAUGCACCCUCAUAGAGUUGUUAUGGAUGUUCUUUAAGCAUUAUCUAGAGUAGGCCAACGCCCACAUCAUGGGGAAUGUAGAGGCUUUGUAGCUAUUAACACUUGUUUUCUUUUCUUUUUGUAAUGUCCGGGAGCGAGGAUAAACAAACGUCAAUAUGUAUACAAGCCUUUCAAUCAGUCAUUCGGACAUGAAAAUAUGUAUAGAUCAUCUUACCCUGUACACCAGCUCAAACCAUUUACAAGAAAUAAUAAACAAAGAUGUGACAUAAAUGUUGGGUCCUGUUUUGGCAAAAAAGUGAAAUUAGGUUUUUUUAUAUAUAUAAUACUCCUACAUGGACAUUUGUAUUCGGUGUAAGUUUGUUUAUUUGUGG